GCGGGAAUAGCUCAGUGGUAGAGCCCUACCUUGCCAAGGUAGUUGUCGCGGGUUCGAGUCCCGUUUCCCGCUCCA
RNAcentral lists this transfer RNA (75 nucleotides) under Candidatus Cloacimonadota bacterium. RNAcentral describes it as "tRNA-Gly". It matches the Rfam family "tRNA". Rfam says of the family: Transfer RNA (tRNA) molecules are approximately 80 nucleotides in length. RNAcentral also lists the same sequence under 1 other name. The record is from RNAcentral. Lineage: Bacteria; Pseudomonadati; Candidatus Cloacimonadota.